GCCGAAGACCAAAUCACUCUGAAUGUGCACAAUCUUGUCAGAUCUCGGAAGCAAACCUAGGUCGAUUCUAGUUAUCACUUGGAUGGGAAGACCGCCUGGGAAUACCGGAUGUUGUAAACU
This 120-nucleotide ribosomal RNA is filed under the name Petromyzon marinus (sea lamprey). The record is from RNAcentral. Lineage: Eukaryota; Metazoa; Chordata; Hyperoartia; Petromyzontiformes; Petromyzontidae.